AACGAACGCUGGCGGCGCGCCUAAUACAUGCAAGUCGAGCGAGAAGACGUAGCAAUACGUUUGUAAAGCGGCGAACGGGUGAGGAAUACAUGGGUAACCUACCCUCGAGUGGGAAUAACUAGCCGAAAGGUUAGCUAAUACCGCGUACGCUUCUUGGACUUCGGUUCAGGGAGGAAAGCGAUACCGUGGGUAUCGCGCUCUUGGAUGGGCUCAUGUCCUAUCAGCUUGUUGGUGAGGAACGGCUCACCAAGGCUUCGACGGGUAGCUGGUCUGAGAGGACGAUCAGCCACACUGGCACUGCGACACGGGCCAGACUCCUACGGGAGGCAGCAGUAAGGAAUAUUGCGCAAUGGGCGAAAGCCUGACGCAGCGACGCCGCGUGGGGGAGUGAA
Molecule: ribosomal RNA, 392 nt
Filed under: uncultured bacterium
Lineage: Bacteria
Description: bacterial SSU rRNA
Rfam family: Bacterial small subunit ribosomal RNA
Source: RNAcentral